AUUGUUUUUGACUCUACUUUUACCAUCAGAUCUUCCUGCAUUCAAUCUGGUCACUUGUACACCAAAAUUAAAGCUUUCCAUUCUGGGUCAAAAACUAGAACAAGUUACUCUUCUUUCAAGUGAACAAGUUAUUUUCAGGGAAGAAAAGUGAGCAGCUACUCUGAAGGACUGGAAUCAGGUCUUCCAAUUCAGAGGACAGGGGUGAGUAGCUAUUUGAAAUUCAUAUUUCAUAUGCUCUGUGCCAGGUCCUGAGGUCUCUCUGUUUAUCUUUUUAGAGGCUUAUUUGAGAAUAUUUUGAUGAUGUGUCCUUUUUCUAUUUGAGACCCUCACUAAGGUCACUUACAUUAUUGAAUCUUUAUAAUUUCUUCUUUCAUUUUAACUCUUUUCUGCUUUGAUGGAAAAAUGUAGAAUUUUAGAGAAUU
Globicephala melas (long-finned pilot whale) is the source of this 422-nucleotide non-coding RNA. The record is from RefSeq and is a predicted model, not a curated record. NCBI's taxonomy places the organism in Eukaryota, Metazoa, Chordata, Mammalia, Artiodactyla, Delphinidae.